CUACGUGCCAGCAGCCGCGGUAAUACGUAGGUCCCGAGCGUUGUCCGGAUUUAUUGGGCGUAAAGCGAGCGCAGGCGGUUAGAUAAGUCUGAAGUUAAAGGCUGUGGCUUAACCAUAGUACGCUUUGGAAACUGUUUAACUUGAGUGCAAGAGGGGAGAGUGGAAUUCCAUGUGUAGCGGUGAAAUGCGUAGAUAUAUGGAGGAACACCGGUGGCGAAAGCGGCUCUCUGGCUUGUAACUGACGCUGAGGCUCGAAAGCGUGGGGAGCAAACAGGAUUAGAUACCCUGGUAGUCCACGCCGUAAACGAUGAGUGCUAGGUGUUGGAUCCUUUCCGGGAUUCAGUGCCGCAGCUAACGCAUUAAGCACUCCGCCUGGGGAGUACGACCGCAAGGUUGAAACUCAAAGGAAUUGACGGGGGCCCGCACAAGCGGAGGAACAUGUGGUUUAAUUCGAUGAUACGCGAGGAACCUUACCCGGGCUUGAA
RNAcentral lists this ribosomal RNA (485 nucleotides) under uncultured bacterium. RNAcentral describes it as "bacterial SSU rRNA". It matches the Rfam family "Bacterial small subunit ribosomal RNA", at positions 501 to 985 of the family's 1533-position model. The record is from RNAcentral.